CCCUUAGAUGUCCUGGGCCGCACGCGCGCUACACUGAACGGAUCAGCGCGUUUUCCCUUCCCGAGAGGGACGGGUAACCUGCUGAACCCCGUUCGUGGUAGGGAUCGGGGCUUGCAAUUAUUCCCCGUGAACCAGGAAUGCCCAGUAAGUGCAAGUCAUAAGCUUGCGUUGAUUACGUCCCUGCCCUUUGUACACACCGCCCGUCGCACCUACCGAUUGAAUGGUCCGGUGAAAUCCUCGGAUCGAGCCGUGGGGCAACUCCGGUUCGAGAAGUUGAUUAAACCUUACCAUUUAGAGGAAGGUGAAGUCGUANCA
This 315-nucleotide ribosomal RNA is filed under the name uncultured eukaryote. RNAcentral describes it as "partial 18S ribosomal RNA". It matches the Rfam family "Eukaryotic small subunit ribosomal RNA", at positions 1470 to 1796 of the family's 1831-position model. The record is from RNAcentral.